Mya arenaria is the source of this 280-nucleotide long non-coding RNA. RefSeq lists it as uncharacterized. The record is from RefSeq and is a predicted model, not a curated record. The transcript has 3 exons. NCBI's taxonomy places the organism in Eukaryota, Metazoa, Mollusca, Bivalvia, Myida, Myidae.
CAAGAGUAGAGGUUAGUGGAAUUUGCGUGACUGCAUCGGAUUGUACCAAUCCGGGGUACGUGUGCCAAGAUGGCGUCUGUAAAAUAGGAGCAAUCGCUUGCGCCGCAUCCACCGAAAAUGGAAUUGUCUGGCCAGAGGCACCUGAUGGACAUAUAUCUCGUAAUAAAUCAUGUCAAGAGGGAUACCAAGGCGAUAUUUAUCGUCGUUGUGAGAAUGGCAUUUAUCUGAACCCCGUUAACAAUUGUACAAAGAGGGCCAUACAGGAUUUGCACGCUCAGGU